GCCUUAAAUCUUUCUCAGGUCUAAAUAGAGUCCAAACGAGAAAGAAAGAUGGAGACCUUGCAAGAGCCCUCCAUACUGCUAUAGCUUUAAACCGGCCGCACAAUUAGUUCUCCAUUACAGUCUUGAAUACUACGUCCGUAGAGUUUCGACCUCCUUUAAGUUCAGUGGUGGUUUCAACGCCAAGGCUUUUGUCGUUUCAACUCUUCUUGGAGUAGCUUAGUAUAGCAGAAGCAGAUGAGAAUGCCUUGGAGUUGCGCAUCUGUGUGGCACUAAAUUGGGUAGAAGAAGCGACAAAGCAGCAGCUCAAUCCAAAUGUAGUUGGACUUCGCCUGAGGAUCUCUAGCUUUGAGCUAGACAUCUCGAAAUCUGCUUUGACACAUGCAGGUUGCCAGAGUACUCGUACGUCUAUAUCUGUUUGGGGAGAAAACGAUUUGGGUCAGUGCAUUUCGAACUACUAUAAGGUGCAACCAGAGUUCCUCCUCCCAUUUAUUUUCAAUUAGAAAAUCAUACAUUCCCCUGCCUUUUCAUUCAUUUGCCGGCUAUUACCAUUCAUUUAAUGUUUCUGCAUUGUGUCCAUCUAUAAAUUAAGAUGAGAAAAUAAAGGCGCAGGUUUACAGAGCGUGUUCAUUUCUCUAAGGAGCAUGAAAUUGCCUAUGCCCAACACCUUGUCAACAUGCAUAUGGCAAAUGAAAUUAGAGAGAAUAACAUCUCUAGCUAUGUGAUCACUGAAAUACAACGGGGGUUGAAUGCCUUAUACGACACCUCUUUCAGUUUCGAUAGUAUAAGAAGUAAAUAUAAUGCAAUGCGUGAAUUAACCAAGUUGUACAUUUUCUUCAAGAAAAGGGGAACAUGUGGGAUAGCCAAAAUCAUACCUUCCUUAUGGAUGAUGACAGGUGGAAAGAGAUGGAGCAGGUUAACCCAAAAUAUACCAAAUUUCAAAAUGAUUGCACCGUCUACCAUUUACUAAAAGAGGUGUUUGCCAAGCAAGGUGCAAUCGGAGAUUUUAGUGUAGGCUUCAAGAACGACCCUCGUAAUUCUAUUGAGGAGCUAGAAAUAGAAAAUGAAGCACGAGGUGCACGGGGAAAGGACGAGUUAGAGACUGAGGAGAAAGAUGCCGAGUUGGAGAUAGUUGGGUCGAAGAAAGAGAAAGGGAAAAAAGGAAAAGGAAAGCGCAAGUCUGAAGACACAUCAAGCUGAAGUCCCAUGGCCACUGCAUCUGGUUCAAUCACUGAUAGAUACUUUCAGGCCCUUAAUACCAUUGAGUUACUAGUUAGUCGGAAGAAAACUAGUAACAUGAGUGUAUCAAUUAGCUCUCCGACUAAGAAUGCUUCUAGGACCAGUUCAAAGAAAUCAGCAUACAAUAUUGCCUUGGUAGAACUUCGUCAAGUGGCUAAAGUGGACUGCAAUGCAAAAAUGGAAGUGGCAGAGAUUUUGAAUGACCCUCAAGAGCGCAUUAUUUGAGAUUUAGCUGGAUCGGAUGUCGAUCGCAUCCCAUUUAUGAAGCGUUGAGGCUGCCUUCCGCCUGAUUGGACUCCUCAAGAACCCUCUCCUCCCCUGUUUUAGUCUCUGGUUUCGAUAGGAGGCAAUCCUUAAGGUUGCCUAUUGUUGUGAUUGUUAGUUUGUGCUUGACAAGUAGCAUUUGCUAUCGGAUUCUAUUUUCUAUGUUUGCUGAGUCAUUUUAUUUCAGUAAUCCAAACCUUGCAUUGUGUGGUGUUGCCUUUUAUUGUUGACUGGAAAUGAUUUUCCACAAUUCAUCACUCUUAUUUGCCCAA
Molecule: long non-coding RNA, 1772 nt
Organism: Coffea arabica (coffee)
Lineage: Eukaryota; Viridiplantae; Streptophyta; Magnoliopsida; Gentianales; Rubiaceae
Source: RefSeq, a predicted model, not a curated record